GCUGAGUCAAAAACUUAAAAGUUUUAUAAUACACGUGAGGUCUCAGUUCAGCUGACUUCUAUGCAUGCACUGAUUGUGUUUACUUGUGUAUGAUAGGACAGAAUCUUCGUGUACUCUCGCUGCUGAACGAAAACAUCUACUUUACCUGCAAGCUGUGGUUAGUUUUCCACAAAAGCUCACUUCAUGACAUUUGGUGUUAUUUCAGAGGCUGGGACUGCUUCCCUGACACAAGCUUUUCCUCCUGAUCACACGUGUAAAAUUUCUUGUUCCUGGUUCUAUCCUUGAAGAUGCCAGAUCGCUUUGAAGGAAAGUAUGAGCAAAUGGGGAAGAAUACUUGAGACUCUGAACACCAAACAGGCUGCUAAGCCUCUCCUUGGAGUGCGUGAGUGGAGUGUGUGCAUAUGUGCAUUUCUAUUUCAGUUGGUUGGAAUGGGUUUUGCAACCUACCAGAGAGGAUUAUUAUUCCAGGACUGAAGUUGCUCAUUCAAUUCUCUGGGGAACACGGAGUGUUGCUGAGACUUACCAGAGUGAAUACAGCACAAUACAGCAAGGCACGCACCCCGCUGAGCUCACUCCAAGCAUUUGCUAAAAAGCAUGUAUCGUAGGAACAGAAAUGUGCUUUCAGGUCUCCCAGGGUCUGAUUAAAUUCAAAAAUGAGAGAGUUUCCCAUUGUGUUUUCCAUCAGCCCAUUUCAAGUGUGGGAGAACGGGGAUGCUGAAGCUUCAAAAUGUGUAAUUCUUAGAGGGCUCACAGCAACACCUUUCAUAUCCUAAAUUGUACAGCAUAUAUGAGUGUGAGCUAGAUGUUGAUUUAAAAUAGCAUUUUGUUCUGUAUGUGCUGUAAUUCUGAAUGCUGAACUCAAGUUUUCUUAGUCAGGUUUGUGUCAACCCGUGUGAUCAGGAGGUUCACAAUUGACCCUAGUUCUACAGGUAGAAAUCUUGCUAGCAAUUGAACAGUCUGGUAUAAAUGCCUUGAUUAUAGAGUAAGCAAUGAAAGACAGUGAGUACAACCAAUGGAACUGGGAAAAAAAGUGAUCCUAUUCUGUCAGUAAAACAAAGGUAUGGUACAGAAACGAAUGAAUACUAAAAUUCUGUAUUUGCUUAAGUAGUGCUGCAUAAGAGGCACACUUUAUUUAUACUGGCAGCAAUAAGCAAGGGAUUUACACUGAUAAAAGAAACUGUAUAUUAAAAUAUGCAUUAAAAGUACUGCAAAAUUUCUCCUAAAGGUCUUUUGACAGAGUAAUAAAAAGCAAGAAGCAGAAGCCAGUUAGAUGCAUUUUAGAGUCUAGUUUUACAGCUUUUUAACCAAGUAACUUUAAAUUUUUCUUUUUUUUUCUUUUUUUCUUCCCAUACACCAUCUGGUGUCACUACCGUUGAAGAACUGAAUUUUUAGAGGAAGUAGUAUCUUUUUUCUAAGGUUUAAAUUUUUUUUUUCCUUGCUCAUAAGUGCGCUACCAUGUUUACUGGAUUUCGGGUUUCAGAAAAAAGAGGAGUGUUAAGAGAAGGGAGACUUCUGCCAAACCAGUGUUUUUCCUGUUUUGAAAGGACAACACAAUACUACUGAAAGCUUAUGGGAAGAUGUAUGUUCUAAAUCAUCUGAAGUUUUCCUAAGGGGUGAAUUAUUAGGAGUCCCAGGAUACCAACAGACCUCCUCCAUUUUGUGUGCGCUUGUAGUAAACGGUAACUGGAGAAAAGGGUCAGGAAUGCUUGUCUUUCUUCAGGUCAUACUAAGCACUGUUCUGCAUUGCUCAAAGGAAUGUGCAUCAAGCCCAUGGCAUCAGCAUGAAGGAUGUAAGUAAGUAUGUCUUCCAGAGUGAGAAGUGGUGGUGCUUUAACAUCUGUGAUAUAUACUCUACUGUGUGUGUUGUUCCAUUGAUCAUUUGCCUUUGUUGCUGCCCAACUACUUAUGCUCUAU
This is a long non-coding RNA of Lagopus muta (rock ptarmigan), 1914 nucleotides long. RefSeq lists it as uncharacterized. The record is from RefSeq and is a predicted model, not a curated record. NCBI's taxonomy places the organism in Eukaryota, Metazoa, Chordata, Aves, Galliformes, Phasianidae. The transcript has 4 exons.